CUACUCCGAGCCCUUCUGUAAAGUCCCUCUUACAGAUCUCUUCUAAAAAGUUUCACUUUCAACAAAAUGAUCUUUCCUGAAAGGAACAAAUAUCGCAUUCAAAGACAUCUCCCAAGCUCUGGCAGUAAGGAAGUUAAGAACAGCACACUUUCCCUUUUUUUUAUUGAUACUGUUUGUUGGUGAAAUGGCUUAAUGGCUGCAGGGUCAGUUGACAGAUAGGAGGUAACAUUGUUCUUCUCCUCCAGCGAAUGUAGUGUUUGGCAUGACUUCAAAAUAACCCUAUUGUUUGUCAUCUUCUCAAAAUACACUAUAAAACCCCUGUUAAAAGGGAAGAUAACGUUUUCUAAGCAUAAGUCAAGUGCCGGGUUGCCUUUUUUUAAAGCUGCUUGAUGAGAAUUAAUGGCGUUGGAUCUCCUGUUUUAAACACAUUUGGCCAGGUUUUCUGGAGGCACCUAAUUUAUCUUGAGGCUCUUUCAUCUAUUAUCUAACUGUGAGCUUGUUCAUAGCUCAUCAGCCAUCCUGGUUUUGACAGGGGGCCUUGUGAUGAGCAGCCAACAGCGCGGAGUGUCGGGGCCGGGCGUAUCUCUGGCAGGAAGGUGAUGGGAAAAGCCUAACCUUCUGCCACUCCUCCCAGCACUCACCAAACCCAAAAAUAGAGUCUUGGAUCAUCACACAAAGCCCCUCAGCGUGGUUCCUGCAUCCCAGUGUUAAAGCAGAUCGCUGCCGGAUCAGGUCCAUUUAAUGGGCAAGUGGUACCUUCGGGCAGCUUGGGGUGGUGUUUGGGGAAAUCCCCCCUGUUGAGGGGACACUCUGUGACAGAGAAUUGCUUUGGCCAAGGCAUAGUGUCCAUGGGGCCAUCAGGAAAGAGAAGAAAGCAGCAGAAAUUUGGGAAAAAAAACAAACCCCAAAACCUUAUCUAAUAAGGGUGGGAAAUAAAGAGCUUACGUAAAAGACCAAUUUUUCUACAGUUCCCAAGCAGGAAUAUUCUGGUACAUGAUUCAGGACCAUGGCAGAUGUGUAGAUUUUGGGUGUGAGCUCCCAAACCCAUUCUGGAAGCAGCCAGAGGAGAUUUGCAAAAACGAGGGCCUCGCCUUUCCUUUUUUGUGCUUUCAGCAUCGAUGUACACGAGCGCUCGGAGCGGCGGCUACGGAGCUGCUGGAAAGUUUGUCACCAUAACACUGCCUGUUUAUGCUUUGUGGGGAUGAAAGAACAGCUUUCUUCAAUUAGGCUUUGUACUUCAGCUGGCAGGCGGGUGCCGAUUGUCUCAAACUCCACCUCUCGGCCUGGCCUGGCCCGCGGAGCCAGCGGAGGCCGCGCACGGCAGCGCCCGGCCCUGCCGUGGAUCAGAUCUGCUGGCAAUGGGCAAAGUGGGAGAAAUCCCACUGGGAACAGCAGCCACCUGCACUCAGGUGGAUGGGCUACUCCGAGCUGCUGGGAUUUUCAAAUUGUAGGAUCACAGAAUGGGUUGGAAGGGACCUUUAAAGGCCUUCUCAUCCACAGUGAGCAGUGAGCUUCCACUAGGCCAAGUUCCUCAGGGCCCCAUCCAGCCUGACAUUAAAUGUUUAGUUUCCAACAAUGGGGCAUCCCCCACCUCUCUGUGCCAGGGCCUCACUACCCUCAUUGCAAAAAUUUUCCUCCUUAUACCUGACUCUCCCCUUUUUCAGUUUAAAACCAUUCCCCCUCAUGCUAUCCCUUCUCGAUGCUUUUCCUCUUCAGUCCCUGCUCCGUGCACCUGUGAGGAGCUGGCACUGCACAGAGAACCCAGCUGGUUCCUAACAAAGAGUUCAAUCUCAUUUUAAAGCCCGUGGUGCUGCAGGGCCAGCAGACUCUUUCCAUGGACUCGGGCAAGUUUUGAAUAGGUUGCCUGGAUACCUGGCUAUGGAACACAGCAUGUGUGAGCAGCCGAUGGAUAUCUCUUUAAUAAGAAACAGGGCAUGGGGAGGGAGCUGCCUAUGUACCAGUGUGGAUUUAUAAGGCACUGACUGCUCUGUGUCAGGAGGAUUUGCAGAUUGGGGGAAUUUGGAGGGGGUUUAUGGCUUGCCGGAAGCUGAUAGCAAAGCUGUGGCAAAAAGUCAAAAUGCACCGCCCAUGGCAGCUCUUCACGGGGAAAACUGACUUAUAAAACAGGAGGGAUCACAGAGAAUGCCCAGCUGCCCUACCCCCUGUCAGGGCCAGCCCUGCAGAGACACGGUGUAAACCUGGGCUGUCCCACACCUCAACUUCCUCUGCUGAAGCCAGAACUGAUCGUGGUGGCUUUUUGCAUGUGCCAAACAGAGGUUCACCGAUGGAGAAAGAUGAAUAUGGUUUUUUUGCAUGUGUUCUAUGCUGACACUCUUAGCAGGAUUCUACCGAGGUCUGGGGUAGGAGUUUGGUGGAUGCUGGCAUGCAGGAAAACUACUGUAUGUGUGUUUGCAUUGCAGAAAGUGCAAAUCUGUCCAUUUGAAUCUUUUUUGAGUGAGCACACUGGGCAAACUAGGUGGUUUUGGAAUGACCUCAUCCCAGGAUCCCAGCAGAAAACAGCCCGUGUACAUAGCAGAGUCUGGAAUGUGAGCAGGACCUCAUUCAUAAACUUCCUUACCGUUCCUUUACACUCAAAGACAGGAAUAAAAAGCAGCCAAAACAAGCAGAAAUGGUGUUCCAGACUUAACCAAAUGGGAAAAUAUAUAGAUGCACUUUUAAAUUUUAUUGUUUUAUUGAAUUGAGAUGCUUUUCACCAGCUGCAGGAGGCUUGCCAUGGUGAUACAUUCAUUCUUUCUCUUGGAUCAGACUGGAAGCUUUAUUAAGAUUUUUUCUUUUCUUUGAUCUAAACCUAUUUUUUGGUGACAACACCUCUGUUUUCUACCACCUGCCCUGUUUCUGUGAAAAUACAGAGCUUGAAAAAUGUGUUAGAAGAGGUGUUAUGAAAAGACUGGAACUCAGAGGCCUAAACUCAGUUACAGAAGGUUUUUAAUUAAAGCUGUUAAAUAAUAAGGGGAGAAAACCAAUUAUUUUUCAUACUUUUUAUGAACAAAAGCACCUUAGGUCUCCAUCCUCGUAAGCAGGGAGGCAGUGAGCAGCAGGUAGGAGCACAUGAGGUCAUCCUGCUGUACUGGAGCGAGGAUGAAAUAAAUUCAGGCUGUAAAACGUGGCUGGGAGGCUCCUGCUCUCUCCACUUGGCUCCCUGGUGGCAUUGGCCAGAGGUCACCAAACAAGGCACAGGCAAAUCUGGGCUCCUCAGGCUGAAAUACAGCACUUUUUAGGCAUAUUUGGAGCUUCAGCCAGAUGUGAGCUCCACCAUGCUAAGCAACAUUUUCACUGCUUUUAAGUCCUUUUUGUCAGCUUGGCAGCAAAAAUUGGGCUGGAUGAUUAUUGCAGCCACUGGAAGAAUUUUUCUGUGGUCUAAUAUAAGUGCAACCAAGGAACUCUGGCAUGUGCCUCCAGCAACUUGGAUUUCCAAGUGGUCUUACUUUUCAGUGCUGGACACUCCCAGGAGGAACUGAGUUUCCAAGAGAAGAUGACAGUGGGUGUAUUCAGUCCAACACAGCUGUAGGUACGGUACAAACAUGCAAUUAGAGACAGUUCCUGCCCUGGAGAGCUUGGAGUCUAAAUAGACAAACAGAUCAUCUCCAGAUGGUAGGGGCUGAAGGGUGAGUUGGUGGGAGAGCGAGUGAGUGCGUGGCACUUCUGCUGCUGGAUGCACACAGAUGGUCAAAAGGCAGCGGAGAGAGAAGAGCCUCAGGCCUUGCACAGGCAGCUCGGAUUUCCUGCAAAAAGCCUGCAGGGGUGGGGCUGAUACGUGGCCAUGGCUGUAGGGCUGGAUACUGCAAGGGAUGGGAAGAGCAGGGAGAAGGGAAGAAAGAAGGAAGUCCAUUUAUAGCAGCUUCCUCGGAAAUGCAGGGGGGCUGCCAAUGCGUGUCGAUGCCUGCUGGUGAAGAAUGGAUGUGAUUUAACUUUAUUAGGCACUGGGGAGUUUGCUGUGGAAAGGAGGAUUGAUGGAGAGGGCACGAAUUUUGGCCAAUCUGUAAAUGAAGAGCACAAUGGUGAAGAGCUUUUCCACCUCUCGCCAUUGCCAGCCGGGAGAGGGGGACUCCUGUCCCAAGACCAGGUUACAGAUGGGGUGCUGGAGGAUCACAGGAGCAGAAACCCUCCAAAGAGAACUACAAGCAGCCAUGGCUGGCUCAGAAAAUCCCUGAUCUGCAAAUAUUUGGGAGCUGAAUAGGUUCAGCUAGGUCUAGAGAGAGGUGUUCCCUGCCCAUGGCAGGGAGGGAUGAUCUUUAUGUUCCCUUCCAACCCUUAAUGUUCUGUGGUUCUUCGGGGAGUUUGUACAAAUCUCAUACUCUUCCCCAGGCCUGUAGAGCCUUCUUUGGUCACUUUCAGAUAUAUUUCAGGAUAUUUGAUGGCAUGACCCAAAGGAUUGCUCCUGAAGUUCUGAUCCCCGUCAUUUCCCUGCCUUGGUCACGUCAGCCUCCCUUUGGAGGGAAUGCAGCCCAAGCACAGAAACCACCAGGAAAACAUCUGAGGAUUUAUUUCAUACCACAAGCACUGUAGGUGGCUGUAAGGUUUGGGAGGAUGUAGAUGAGAAGGAUUUGUGGGGAAGUAUUGAACGGUGGCCAGAACAAUAAAGAAUAAGAGGAGAGAGGCACCUCUCCAAGUAGGGCUUCACCAGAGUGGGACAGGGAGCAAAAGCAUCCACCAGCCAUCAAAUGCCACAUGGCUCUGUGCUAAUUCCAGGAGUUCACCACCAAACAUGGGAAAACUCUCAUAUUUAACUUGGCAAGAGGUGAGCUGAUUUAACUGGUAUAGCAGAGAUGUAGUUGUGCAGAAUAAAUCAAUGGGCCACAAAUUACACAGGAAAUUUGGGUCUGGCGUUCAGGGUCGAGGAAGGUGGGAAGAUGAAGGAAUUAAAACCUGAUACCUUUUUAAAUAUUGCUUCAGGGUAGAGAUGACCUUGCUGUAAUUCUUUCAAAUUCCCUAUAAAAAAGGCAGGAAUGCAUGGCAAGCCACCCUUUUCCAACAGAUAUCUGGUGACACAGAGAGCAAAAUCGGUGCAGGCAGGAAGAAAGACAGGGCAGUAAUCACAGUCCUUUGGAUUAAAAGGAAAUUACACUGAGGCAGGAUGAUUUGGAUAUGAUGAACUUAUCUAGGCAAUGACCUGUCCUUCAUAUGGGCUAAAUUUCUAGGGGAAAUAUUAAUUGGAUGAGGGUUCUUACAAGCUGUAAAUGGAGAGAAACCCAUCAAUGGUUUCAUCUGACAAAGUGACUUUCUCAAUUUGUGCCAUGUCAAGGUUCUAUAUGCGCUUGGUUGCCACCAGGAAAGCUUUGGCCUUCUAAAAUGAGAAGAUUUACU
This is a non-coding RNA of Cyanistes caeruleus (blue tit), 5325 nucleotides long. The record is from RefSeq and is a predicted model, not a curated record. Lineage: Eukaryota; Metazoa; Chordata; Aves; Passeriformes; Paridae.